This 274-nucleotide ribosomal RNA is filed under the name uncultured bacterium. RNAcentral's name for it is "partial 16S ribosomal RNA". It matches the Rfam family "Bacterial small subunit ribosomal RNA", at positions 523 to 796 of the family's 1533-position model. The record is from RNAcentral.
AUACGGAGGGUGCAAGCGUUAAUCGGAAUUACUGGACGUAAAGCGCGCGUAGGCGGCUGAUUAAGUCAGAUGUGAAAUCCCCGGGCUCAACCUGGGAACUGCAUCUGAUACUGGUCAGCUAGAGUUUUGGAGAGGUAAGUGGAAUUUCCGGUGUAGCGGUGAAAUGCAUAGAGAUCGGAAGGAACACCAGUGGCGAAGGCGACUUACUGGCCAAGAACUGACGCUGAGGUGCGAAAGCGUGGGGAGCAAACAGGAUUAGAUACCCCAGUAGUCC